GACGAAGACGUUCGUCACCGUAGAAGUCUACUGGUUUUAUAACUACGGAUA
The sequence is a small RNA, 51 nucleotides long. It matches the Rfam family "mcrA RNA". Rfam says of the family: Listeria (Firmicutes). Nearby to self-splicing intron genes The record is from Rfam.